RNAcentral lists this ribosomal RNA (512 nucleotides) under uncultured bacterium. RNAcentral's name for it is "partial 16S ribosomal RNA". It matches the Rfam family "Bacterial small subunit ribosomal RNA", at positions 28 to 507 of the family's 1533-position model. The record is from RNAcentral.
GAUGAACGCUGGCGGCGUGCCUAAUACAUGCAAGUCGAACGAAACUUCUUUAUCACCGAGUGCUUGCACUCACCGAUAAAGAGUUGAGUGGCGAACGGGUGAGUAACACGUGGGCAACCUGCCCAAAAGAGGGGGAUAACACUUGGAAACAGGUGCUAAUACCGCAUAACCAUAGUUACCGCAUGGUAACUAUGUAAAAGGUGGCUAUACUACCGCUUUUGGAUGGGCCCGCGGCGCAUUAGCUAGUUGGUAGGGUAAAGGCUUACCAAGGCAAUGAUGCGUAGCCGAAUUGAGAGGUUGAUCGGCCACAUUGGGACUGAGACACGGCCCAAACUCCUACGGGAGGCAGCAGUAGGUAAUCUUCCACAAUGGGCGAAAGCCUGAUGGAGCAACGCCGCGUGGGUGAAGAAGGUCUUCGGAUCGUAAAACCCUGUUGUUAGAGAAGAAAGUGCGUGAGAGUAACUGUUCACGUUUCGACGGUAUCUAACCAGAAAGCCACGGCUAACUACGUG